Molecule: ribosomal RNA, 484 nt
Filed under: uncultured bacterium
Lineage: Bacteria
Description: partial 16S ribosomal RNA
Rfam family: Bacterial small subunit ribosomal RNA
Source: RNAcentral
AUUUCCCUCUUUCCUCCGGCCUAACACAUGCAAGUCGAGCGGAUGAAGGGAGCUUGCUCCUGGAUUCAGCGGCGGACGGGUGAGUAAUGCCUAGGAAUCUGCCUUGUAGUGGGGGAUAACGUCCGGAAACGGGCGCUAAUACCGCAUACGUCCUGAGUGAGAAAGUGGGGGAUCUUCGGACCUCACGCUAUCAGAUGAGCCUAGGUCGGAUUAGCUAGUUGGUGAGGUAAAGGCCUACCAAGGCGACGAUCCGUAACUGGUCUGAGAGGAUGAUCAGUCACACUGGAACUGAGACACGGUCCAGACUCCUACGGGAGGCAGCAGUGGGGAAUAUUGGACAAUGGGCGAAAGCCUGAUCCAGCAAUGCCGCGUGUGUGAAGAAGGUCUUCGGAUUGUAAAGCACUUUAAGUUGGGAGGAAGAGAAGUAAGUUAAUCCCUUGCUGUCUUGACGUUACCAAAAGAAUAAGCACCGGCUAACUUCGUG